Molecule: long non-coding RNA, 200 nt
Organism: Micropterus dolomieu (smallmouth bass)
Lineage: Eukaryota; Metazoa; Chordata; Actinopteri; Centrarchiformes; Centrarchidae
Exons: 2
Source: RefSeq, a predicted model, not a curated record
UUCUAAGACCUACGAACUGUGAGCGUGUGUCGAGCUAGAGAGCGUGAUAGCCGAUGGCGAAAACCAUUUGAUUAGCGUCCUUGGAGAGCGGAAUGAGUUUUCACGGUGUUCAUGGUGCAUGGUGCACGUUGAGAGGAAUAAUAAAUCGACACCCGUUUGAAACUCUCUGCGUCUUGAUCAAUAAAUCCAAGGGGCCGCUA